Molecule: long non-coding RNA, 1933 nt
Filed under: Apis mellifera (honey bee)
Lineage: Eukaryota; Metazoa; Arthropoda; Insecta; Hymenoptera; Apidae
Description: uncharacterized LOC107965047
Source: RNAcentral
AAGAAAAUCUUGUGUGCACUUGUGCAAGACCAAUGAUCUUAUAUGAUACUAAAUAUUACUUAUCAUGCACUAUUAAUAAAUGCAUUUCAUAAGAUUUACAAGAAUGAUUUCUGCGAAUUAUUCAAUUUGUGCGAGAAAGAUUGACAAAAAGCAAUUUACCUCGUUUGACUUAAACCUCGCACCGAGGUUUCCAUUUUUAAAAAAUUGAUGGAGAUCGAAGAAAAUUGGAUGAAAGAAGAAAUCGUUAGAAAAGGGAUAUUUGCGAUAUUGCAAAUAAUGGAUCAAUCUUGUAUACGCAUAUACACGCGCACCAAUACCAAUCCAUCGAGUAAUUUCACGCGGUCAAUUAUUUCCGGGAUCGGCACAUAGCCAUUAACGCGUCCCCGAAUUGUCCAGCCAGACGCGGUUUGCACAACCACAGAUCCAAAAACGAGAGAUUCACAGAGAGGCGAGAAAUCGGCUCGAGCUUGUCCCUAGGAGACAUUCCAAUUCCUUGUACCAGCUAUGCUCGUUUUCACCCCCUCCCUCCCCCCUGUAAUUCCCGUGAAACGUCCCGCGAACACGUGAAAAAGGGAGGAGAUCCUCUCGCGGACCAAGCAAUCUCGAUGGUUGGUUCCCUCUUCCUCCUCCUCCUCCACCACCACCCUCUUCGCCUGUCUCUUCGAAAGGGAUUUAACUUGGACAAAAUUACAUUAGGACACAGUUGAAUCGAAUCCCAUUCUAAAUGGAGCCCCGUGGACGUUCGACCGUGCUACAAAUUAAGAGAACCAUCCCUCUCCCUCUCCUCCUCCUCCUCCCCCUCUUCUUUCACCCUUUCGGUUGGCACUCGUUCAACAAGGGCCGUGGAUCGAUUUGGAAAAGGGGGGAGGGAGGGAGGGAGGGAGAGGGUUUCGCGAGGUAGCCAGAAACGAUUUUCUCGCUCGUUUCCUCUCCGCCGACCUAUUGUCUCCUCGUCGACGCGCGAAAACGCUUCACGCGCCGUCGAGCAACCUUCUUUCUCUCUUCGUCCGCGAUUCCUCUCGCUUCAAAAGCAGCUCCAGAGAUGAAUAACGCUUUCUCUCUCUUUUUCUCUCUCUCUUUCUCUCUCCCUUAAGAGCGAAGCUUUUGCUUAAUUUCAAACGAUGCGCACUGUGUGUACCCUCUUGCGUACCGGAAGCGGAUGACGUUGUAUGUCUAAGGGGUUCUAGAAAAUGGGCAAAGUCGAGGUGAAAACUCGAGGAACGCGCGCAGAAUCGCGAGAUAGUGGUCGCGGAUCCCGUGGUUCCGGGGAAGAAGAGGUUCCUCGAGAACUGGUCAAAGUGGGAUCGCGCUGCCUCGUUAUACCUACUGUUCCUUCGAGUUUCUGAGGUUUGGAAAUCAUCUCUCUCUCUCUGUUUCUCUCUCUUUUUCUCUCUCUUGCACGCUUUCUGCAUUCACGUCGAUGAGUGAGUUUUAUUUAUAUAUUCGGGAACUGGUAUUAAUUUUAUGUUUUUUUUUUUUAGGUGUGAUUGUUGGUGUGAUGAUUGAUGAGGUGAUUGAGGUGAUCGAUGGAGGGUGGAUUAUGUAUCGUUGAUAUGCCUUAGAGGAGUUGUUUGUAUGAUAGAUUGGAGUGAAUUAAAAUUGAAAAUGUGAUGGUAAUGACAAUAUGUGACAAUAUGUUGAUAAUUUGUUUUGUAAAAUGUAAUUUGAUCUGAAUAUUGUGGUUGGAGAAUAUAUGGCUUAAUGUAACACGUUGACGAAAGACUCAAAGGAGAUAUUUUUAUAUCCGCGAUACAUUGGAUUUUAUUGAGCAAUUUUUUAAACUAUCAAUUUUAUAAAUUACUGAUGACUCUCUCAAUGGAGUGGAAAUCGUUCGUCAACAGUCAACAUUUGUAAGUAUUGAUCUAAAUCGAACAAUUGUAGGUGUGAUAUAAUUUGACAUGGAUAUUUUUUUUUUUUUUUUGCAUCCCGACAA